This 600-nucleotide ribosomal RNA is filed under the name uncultured bacterium. RNAcentral's name for it is "bacterial SSU rRNA". It matches the Rfam family "Bacterial small subunit ribosomal RNA", at positions 45 to 677 of the family's 1533-position model. The record is from RNAcentral.
GGCCUAACACAUGCAAGUCGAACGUGAAGCGAGGAGCUUGCUCCUCGUGGAAAGUGGCAGACGGGUGAGUAACGCGUGGGAAUUUACCCAGCUCUACGGAAUAACGCAGGGAAACUUGUGCUAAUACCGUAUACGUCCUCCGGGAGAAAGAUUUAUCGGAGUUGGAUGAGCCCGCGUUAGAUUAGUUUGUUGGUGGGGUAACGGCCUACCAAGACUACGAUCUAUAGCUGGUCUGAGAGGAUGAUCAGCCACACUGGGACUGAGACACGGCCCAGACUCCUACGGGAGGCAGCAGUGGGGAAUAUUGCACAAUGGGCGCAAGCCUGAUGCAGCCAUGCCGCGUGAGUGAAGAAGGCCUUAGGGUUGUAAAACUCUUUCACCGGUGAAGAUAAUGACGGUAGCCGGAGAAGAAGCCCCGGCUAACUCCGUGCCAGCAGCCGCGGUAAUACGGAGGGGGCGAGCGUUGUUCGGAAUUACUGGGCGUAAAGCGCGCGUAGGCGGGCUGGUCAGUUGGGGGUGAAAUCCCGAGGCUUAACCUCGGAACUGCCCUCAAUACUGCCAGUCUAGAGUUCGGAAGAGGUAAGUGGAAUUCCUAGUGUA